UGGGGAAUUUUGGACAAUGGGCGCAAGCCUGAUCCAGCCAUGCCGCGUGCGGGAAGAAGGCCUUCGGGUUGUAAACCGCUUUUGUCGGGGAAGAAAUCUCUCGGGCUAAUACCUCGGGGGGAUGACGGUACCCGAAGAAUAAGCACCGGCUAACUACGUGCCAGCAGCCGCGGUAAUACGUAGGGUGCGAGCGUUAAUCGGAAUUACUGGGCGUAAUGCGUGCGCAGGCGGUCGUGCAAGACAGAUGUGAAAUCCCCGGGCUCAACCUGGGAACUGCAUGUGUGACUGCACGGCUGGAGUACGGCAGAGGGGGAUGGAAUUCCGCGUGUAGCAGUGAAAUGCGUAGAUAUGCGGAGGAACACCGAUGGCGAAGGCAGUCCCCUGGGCCUGUACUGACGCUCAUGCACGAAAGCGUGGGGAGCAAACA
Molecule: ribosomal RNA, 427 nt
Filed under: uncultured bacterium
Lineage: Bacteria
Description: bacterial SSU rRNA
Rfam family: Bacterial small subunit ribosomal RNA
Source: RNAcentral